GUGGGGAAUUUUGGACAAUGGGCGCAAGCCUGAUCCAGCGACGCCGCGUGUCGGACGGAGUCCUUCGGGAUGUAAACGACUUUUGAUGGAGACGAAAGGGCAGCUCAGGGAAUGGGGCUGCGAUGACGGUAUCCAAUGAAUAAGCCCCGGCUAACUACGUGCCAGCAGCCGCGGUAAGACGUAGGGGGCAAGCGUUACCCGGAAUUACUGGGCGUAAAGGGAGCGUAGGCGGGAGGUCAAGUCCGGUGUGAAAGUCCCUGGCUCAACCAGGGGAUAGGGCUGGAAACUGACAAUCUUGAGUACAGCAGAGGAAGAGGGAAUUACCGGUGUAGGGGUGAAAUCCGUAGAGACCGGUAGGAAGGCCAGUGGCGAAGGCGCUUUUCUGGGCUGUUACUGACGCUGAGGCUCGAAAGCCAGGGGAGCAAACCGGAUUAGAAACCCGAGUAGUCC
This 450-nucleotide ribosomal RNA is filed under the name uncultured bacterium. RNAcentral describes it as "bacterial SSU rRNA". It matches the Rfam family "Bacterial small subunit ribosomal RNA", at positions 354 to 796 of the family's 1533-position model. The record is from RNAcentral.